RNAcentral lists this ribosomal RNA (612 nucleotides) under Salmonella enterica subsp. enterica serovar Hartford. RNAcentral describes it as "bacterial SSU rRNA". It matches the Rfam family "Bacterial small subunit ribosomal RNA", at positions 110 to 718 of the family's 1533-position model. The record is from RNAcentral. Lineage: Bacteria; Pseudomonadati; Pseudomonadota; Gammaproteobacteria; Enterobacterales; Enterobacteriaceae.
GUAAUGUCUGGGAAACUGCCUGAUGGAGGGGGAUAACUACUGGAAACGGUGGCUAAUACCGCAUAACGUCGCAAGACCAAAGAGGGGGACCUUCGGGCCUCUUGCCAUCAGAUGUGCCCAGAUGGGAUUAGCUAGUUGGUGAGGUAACGGCUCACCAAGGCGACGAUCCCUAGCUGGUCUGAGAGGAUGACCAGCCACACUGGAACUGAGACACGGUCCAGACUCCUACGGGAGGCAGCAGUGGGGAAUAUUGCACAAUGGGCGCAAGCCUGAUGCAGCCAUGCCGCGUGUAUGAAGAAGGCCUUCGGGUUGUAAAGUACUUUCAGCGGGGAGGAAGGUGUUGUGGUUAAUAACCGCAGCAAUUGACGUUACCCGCAGAAGAAGCACCGGCUAACUCCGUGCCAGCAGCCGCGGUAAUACGGAGGGUGCAAGCGUUAAUCGGAAUUACUGGGCGUAAAGCGCACGCAGGCGGUCUGUCAAGUCGGAUGUGAAAUCCCCGGGCUCAACCUGGGAACUGCAUUCGAAACUGGCAGGCUUGAGUCUUGUAGAGGGGGGUAGAAUUCCAGGUGUAGCGGUGAAAUGCGUAGAGAUCUGGAGGAAUACCGGUGGCGA